RNAcentral lists this microRNA precursor (97 nucleotides) under Otolemur garnettii (small-eared galago). RNAcentral describes it as "miRNA (ENSOGAG00000026804.1)". It matches the Rfam family "mir-670 microRNA precursor family". Lineage: Eukaryota; Metazoa; Chordata; Mammalia; Primates; Galagidae. The record is from RNAcentral.
UUUAGGGGUGGAUCUGACGUCCCUGAGUGUAUGUGGUGAACCUGAAUUUGCCUUGGGUUUCCUCAUAUUCAUUCAGGAGUGUCAGUCACCCCUACAC